UAAGGAAUAUUGGUCAAUGGACGCAAGUCUGAACCAGCCAUGCCGCGUGGAGGAUUAAGGCCCUCUGGGUUGUAAACUCCUUUUAUCUGGGAAGAAAUGUACUUUUUCUUGAGUACUUGACGGUACCAGAGGAAUAAGCACCGGCUAACUCCGUGCCAGCAGCCGCGGUAAUACGGAGGGUGCAAGCGUUAUCCGGAUUCACUGGGUUUAAAGGGUGCGUAGGUGGGCAGGUAAGUCAGUGGUGAAAUCUCCGGGCUUAACCCGGAAACUGCCGUUGAUACUAUUUGUCUUGGAUAUUGUGGAGGUAAGCGGAAUAUGUCAUGUAGCGGUGAAAUGCUUAGAUAUGACAUAGAACACCAAUUACGAAGGCAGCUUACUACACAAUCAUUGACGCUGAGGCACGAAAGCGUGGGGAUCAAACA
This 422-nucleotide ribosomal RNA is filed under the name uncultured bacterium. RNAcentral's name for it is "bacterial SSU rRNA". It matches the Rfam family "Bacterial small subunit ribosomal RNA", at positions 355 to 774 of the family's 1533-position model. The record is from RNAcentral.